This is a non-coding RNA of Acanthosepion pharaonis, 109 nucleotides long. The record is from the annotation of a GenBank genome assembly. Lineage: Eukaryota; Metazoa; Mollusca; Cephalopoda; Sepiida; Sepiidae.
GGACAUAUUACAUUGAAACACCGAUUCCCGUACGAUGAGCGAAGUUAAGUAACAUCGAGCCUGGUCAGUACCUAGAAGACUGACCGCUUGGGAAGACCACGUGAUGUAA